Molecule: long non-coding RNA, 654 nt
Organism: Hemicordylus capensis (graceful crag lizard)
Lineage: Eukaryota; Metazoa; Chordata; Lepidosauria; Squamata; Cordylidae
Exons: 4
Source: RefSeq, a predicted model, not a curated record
GCAGAUGGAGGGAACUCCUGGUCCAGAGAGUUACAGAGGAGGAGGAGAAACCUAGAACCAGAGACCAGGAGGAGGGAGAGUCCACAACCUGGAAGGGUCAGAUAUGACCAAUGGACUACAUAGAUAUUUGUGGACAGGAGAUAAGCCCAGGGCAGAGGGAAAAUAGCUUUUUCUACACCGAAAAGCUUCAUUGCCUUGAUAAGACAAUUGGCAUUCCUGAAGCAAAACAGCAUCCCUGCACCUUUGAAAAUAUUCAGCAGAUGCAAGGCAUCCAGGAUCACCUCAUCAGCCGAGUAUUCAAUCUGCUCUGCAUAAAAUGAAAUGCAGGGAUGAGGUGUCCCUGUUGCCAAGCAGUGGCAGGAGGAGAAAGGAGACAGCAGAGGGCGGGCCGUCAGUGAGAAACACAGCCACCUUAGAACUGGUGCAUUUCUGGGCUGCUCUGAACCAACCUCUCGAUGGUAGCAGGGUGGAUAGUUAACACAGCCCUACGGAAGCGAACAGGAAGGAAGUCAAAGAGAAGGCCUUAUGUAUGCAGAGAUACAGCAAGUGGUCUCUUUUCUUAAGCUACAGAAAUACAGAUCAAAUUUUGGGAGGAUGGCUACAGUACCAAGAUUCUCUACAGACCCUCUAAUGUGCAGAAUGUACCCUUCUGGC